GGUGGCUCAGUGGUAGAGUGCUUGUCUUGCAUGCAUGAGGCCUUGGGUUCGACUCCUCAACACCA
Molecule: transfer RNA, 65 nt
Filed under: Dipodomys ordii (Ord's kangaroo rat)
Lineage: Eukaryota; Metazoa; Chordata; Mammalia; Rodentia; Heteromyidae
Rfam family: tRNA
About the family: Transfer RNA (tRNA) molecules are approximately 80 nucleotides in length. Their secondary structure includes four short double-helical elements and three loops (D, anti-codon, and T loops).
Source: Rfam by way of RNAcentral